This is a non-coding RNA of Cinara cedri, 208 nucleotides long. The record is from the annotation of a GenBank genome assembly. Lineage: Eukaryota; Metazoa; Arthropoda; Insecta; Hemiptera; Aphididae.
AAGAACAUACUUCACAGGACUAUUUCUGUAGUAUGCAUCGUCCCCUCCAGGUGCAAAUCUGGAGUCGACGUUGGCCAAAAUGAUGCUAGCCACUCUCCCAUUUUCUUGAACGUGAGAAAGUUGCUGGAUUGUCAUUUUAUUGGCCAGUUAGCGACGGUGAUCGCAACCGGAUCUUGAAUCCGGGUGAUAGAUAUACAGUCUGAGUGGU